This 534-nucleotide ribosomal RNA is filed under the name Triticum aestivum (bread wheat). Its description in RNAcentral is "partial small subunit ribosomal RNA". The record is from RNAcentral. Lineage: Eukaryota; Viridiplantae; Streptophyta; Magnoliopsida; Poales; Poaceae.
AUGGAGAAUCAAGGAAAGUGCAGUAGUGCUCCCUCGGGACCCCGUUUUACAGCAAAUGUGGAGAUGGCUAGGAGAUUUGAAUAUUUGAAUAAGAUGGAAGACAUAACGAUGUCUCUUGGGCAACCAAAGUUGGUGACUAUUCCAGGUCUCAGUUUGGGACUAACUUAUGUUUCGCCGAUGGCGGAUGGUAGUUGGAAAAUUAUAGAAGAGAAAGAAAAAUUUCUCGAAGAAUGUCCUGAGCAAUGGAAGAUAUGGCGAGAAGAGACUAAUGAAUGGAAGGUAUGGCAAGAAGAGCAAGAAUCUUUGAAAGCAGCAGAUGAGGCAUCCUUGUUGGCAGAGGAACAAGCUCGAUGGAAAGCAUGGCAGAAAGACCAAGAUUAUGUAGAAUUAGCAGAUGGAGCUUUCUUGGUAGCAGACGAACAAGCUCAAUGGGAGGCAUGGAAGGAGGACGAAAAUUGUGUGCAGGUUUUGAAAAGGCGACGUACUAGCAACCCAGGUCGUAGGAUGUAUAUUCAAGGGAUUUUCUAUUUUUAA